CCUGUCACUGCUUCUGGUAAUGUUUGAUUCUUCUUUCCAAGAGCUCAUGAGGGGGCCAUGGAGUUAAGACAACCUAAGAGAGGAGGAGCAGAGUGCCAGUCACCAAGGUCAUCCUUCCUUUGCUGAAAAUAUCCAAGGAUCUCUGCUUACCCUCGAAUUACUUCCACCUCAACUGAUUACAUAUCAUUUGAAGGGAACAUAAUUAUUCUCAGUAGUGAUGAACCACCCCUAAUUUAUGAAGCUUGUAAACAUUUGGAUACUAUGACUUUCAGGUUGCAGAUAUUACUGUCUACCCCACAGUGGGCAGCCACCGAGUAUUCAGAGCAUAUGUUGUCAACAAAAAGUUACAUCACAGCUGCCAGCAGGUGAGAAGGCUGUGUGCAACAGAUCUAUGCAAGGAAGAGAGCCCUACAGGGGUGCAGCUGGGGAGCAAGUGGCCAGGGCUGUCCCCAUCCAGGGCCUGGUCUUGAGAUCCAGAAGCGGCA
Molecule: long non-coding RNA, 485 nt
Organism: Heterocephalus glaber (naked mole-rat)
Lineage: Eukaryota; Metazoa; Chordata; Mammalia; Rodentia; Bathyergidae
Source: Ensembl